Molecule: ribosomal RNA, 460 nt
Filed under: uncultured bacterium
Lineage: Bacteria
Description: partial 16S ribosomal RNA
Rfam family: Bacterial small subunit ribosomal RNA
Source: RNAcentral
CCUACGGGAGGCAGCAGUGAGGAAUAUUGGUCAAUGGUCGAGAGACUGAACCAGCCAAGCCGCGUGAGGGAGGAAGGUACAGAGUAUCGUAAACCUCUUUUGUAAGGGAACAAAGGCGGGGACGUGUCCCCGGAUGAGUGUACCUGAAGAAAAAGCAUCGGCUAACUCCGUGCCAGCAGCCGCGGUAAUACGGAGGAUCCGAGCGUUAUCCGGAUUUAGUGGGUUUAAAGGGUGCGCAGACGGGCGGUUAAGUCAGCGGUGAAAGCCCGGGGCUCAACCCCGGGACUGCCUUUGAAACUGGCAGUCUCGAGUUGGAGAGAAGUAUGCGGAAUGCAUGGUGUAGCGGUGAAAUGCAUAGAUAUCGCGCAGAACCCCGAUUGCGAAGGCAGCUUGCCGGCUUCACACUGACGCUGAGGCACGAAAGCGUGGGUAUCGAACAGGAUUAGAUACCCUGGUAGUC